This 255-nucleotide ribosomal RNA is filed under the name uncultured bacterium. RNAcentral's name for it is "partial 16S ribosomal RNA". It matches the Rfam family "Bacterial small subunit ribosomal RNA", at positions 524 to 776 of the family's 1533-position model. The record is from RNAcentral.
GACGAAGGUGGCGAGCGUUGUUCGGAAUCACUGGGCAUAAAGCGCACGUAGGCGGCGACGUAAGUUGGGUGUGAAAUCCCUCGGCCCAACCGAGGAACUGCGCCCAGUACUGCGUUGCUUGAGGAUCCAAGGGGUGCAUGGAAUUCCCGGUGGAGCGGUGAAAUGCGUUGAUAUCGGGAGGAACUCCGGCGGCGAAAGCGGUGCACUGGUGGAUUUUCGUGACGCUGAGGUGCGAAAGCCAGGGGAGCAAACGGG